RNAcentral lists this ribosomal RNA (372 nucleotides) under uncultured bacterium. RNAcentral describes it as "bacterial SSU rRNA". It matches the Rfam family "Bacterial small subunit ribosomal RNA", at positions 524 to 898 of the family's 1533-position model. The record is from RNAcentral.
UACGGAGGAUGCGAGCGUUAUCCGGAUUCAUUGGGUUUAAAGGGUGCGUAGGCGGACUUAUAAGUCAGUGGUGAAAACCUGCAGCUUAACUGUAGACGUGCCAUUGAUACUGUUAGUCUUGAGUAUGGUCAAGGUAGGCGGAAUGUGUAAUGUAGCGGUGAAAUGCUUAGAUAUUACACAGAACACCGAUUGCGAAGGCAGCUUACUGGGCCAUUACUGACGCUGAUGCACGAAAGCGUGGGGAGCGAACAGGAUUAGAUACCCUGGUAGUCCACGCCGUAAACGAUGAUCACUCGCUGUUAGCGAUACACAGUUAGCGGCUAAGCAAAAGCAUUAAGUGAUCCACCUGGGGAGUACGGCCGCAAGGCUGAA